CUCUUUCUCAACUCUAAUGCAGGCGCUUGGGCUCACAGCCGAACCCUCACCGCUUGCUCUGACAAAAUGGCUCACGUGUGCUCCUGCACACACAUCCAGCAGUUCUCCUCUCGGAGGAGGUGAGAGUGGGAGAAGCACGGGUUUUUUGGGGCGCCGGAUUGGUUGCCAAGUGAGUUUCAGAGGAGCUUUUAUUUUUAUUUCCAGGAGAGAUUUUAACUGCUUUACACAGAGUUUACGUUUUUUGUCGAUUACUUACGCACGAUGCAAAAAAUCAUCGCCCACAUUUGCACCACUCUAAGCGCAAUGUCCGCUCGCGCUUUUUGCAAAAACAAUACGCACACAGUGAUUUGUAAGACACUUGUAAACAUUAUAGACACAAGGCCAAUGCUGCAGACUGAUUAGUCAACAUGGAGAUUCACAACAAGAAACAAGUCCCAGUUGUGUUCAUGCAGCAGACCAACAAAACAUUCUAUCCAGUACAAAGAAAGAAAAGCUGAAAAUACAGUACAAAAAAUGCUACACGUUGUCUCUUCGUCUAGCUGGAUCUGGCCUCCUCCUCUGGGGAUUCCACCCUCACCCUCACUCUUCUCCUUCCUUCCAUUUUGGUUGAACGGGACGGUCUGGAGUCAUCUGUGAAUCAAAGCUAAUAGUUGAAGAGAGUUGCAACACUUCUGCCGGCUGUUGCCUCAGUCUGUCACUGGACGGAGAAGAUCACAUCGUCGACGUUAUGGACAAAGAAAAAUACCCACAGUGGACAUUAUUAUGUUUUUCCCUUGCAGAAUCGCCCCACUCCUGCGUCUGCAAACACUGCACUUGGGAGCAUUGAAAAGAGCUGACUGCCCUCAAACACAUGCGGUGCACUUUCCAGGAAAACACACAAAGAACUCUGUAACGUGAAACGAAAGCUGACAGCGGCGAUCUCAAAACGCAACGUGACGUUGUGUCGGCCAGUACACCGGUUUUCCCCUCGGCUUUUCUUGCAUUUGUCCACAGAAAAACACACCUCAUUAUCUUUCGCAGAGUAAAUGAUGUAGAUCACGUUGAACGUUUU
Molecule: long non-coding RNA, 1051 nt
Organism: Gasterosteus aculeatus aculeatus (three-spined stickleback)
Lineage: Eukaryota; Metazoa; Chordata; Actinopteri; Perciformes; Gasterosteidae
Source: Ensembl